AACCAGCACCUCAAGUGGUCAGGAUGAUUAUUGGUCCUAAAGCAUCCGUAGCCGGCUCUGUAAGUUUUCGGUUAAAUCUGUACGCUCAACGUACAGGCUGCCGGGAAUACUGCAGAGCUAGGUAGUGGGAGAGGUAGACGGUACUCGGUAGGAAGGGGUAAAAUCCUUUGAUCUAUUGAUGACCACCUGUGGCGAAGGCGGUCUACCAGAACACGUACGACGGUGAGGGAUGAAAGCUGGGGGAGCAAACCGGAUUAGAUACCCGGGUAGUCCCAGCUGUAAACUAUGCAAACUCAGUGAUGCAUUGGCUUGUGGCCAAUGCAGUGCUGCAGGGAAGCCGUUAAGUUUGCCGCCUGGGAAGUACGUACGCAAGUAUGAAACUUAAAGGAAUUGGCGGGGGAGCACCACAAGGGGUGAAGCCUGCGGUUCAAUUGGAGUCAACGCCAGAAAUCUUACCCGGAGAGACAGCAGAAUGAAGGUCAAGCUGAAGACUUUACCAGACAAGCUGAGAGGUGGUGCAUGGCCGUCGCCAGCUCGUGCCGUGAGAUGUCCUGUUAAGUCAGGUAACGAGCGAGAUCCCUGCCUCUAGUUGCCACCAUUACUCUCAGGAGUAGUGGGGCGAAUUAGCGGGACCGCCGCAGUUAAUGCGGAGGAAGGAAGGGGCCACGGCAGGUCAGUAUGCCCCGAAACUCUGGGGCCACACGCGGGCUGCAAUGGUAACGACAAUGGGUUUCGAAUUCGAAAGGAUGAGGUAAUCCUCAAACGUUACCACAGUUAUGACUGAGGGCUGCAACUCGCCCUCACGAAUAUGGAAUCCCUAGUAACUGCGUGUCACUAUCGCGCGGUGAAUACGUCCCUGCUCCU
Molecule: ribosomal RNA, 864 nt
Filed under: uncultured archaeon
Lineage: Archaea
Description: SSU rRNA
Rfam family: Archaeal small subunit ribosomal RNA
Source: RNAcentral